AGGUUUGAUCAUGGCUCAGGACGAACGCUGGCGGCGUGCCUAACACAUGCAAGUCGAGCGAGAAUCUGAUGACGGAAGUUUUCGGACGGAAGAUGUUGGAGGAAAGCGGCGGACGGGUGAGUAACGCGUGAGUAACCUGCCUAUCAGAGGGGGACAACAUUCCGAAAGGGAUGCUAAUACCGCAUAACAUUGCAGAACCGCAUGGUUCAGUAAUCAAAGAUUUAUCGCUGAUAGAUGGACUCGCGUCUGAUUAGAUAGUUGGUGGGGUAAAGGCCUACCAAGUCAACGAUCAGUAGCCGAACUGAGAGGUUGAUCGGCCACAUUGGGACUGAGACACGGCCCAG
Molecule: ribosomal RNA, 344 nt
Filed under: uncultured bacterium
Lineage: Bacteria
Description: bacterial SSU rRNA
Rfam family: Bacterial small subunit ribosomal RNA
Source: RNAcentral